GAUGAACGCUGGCGGCGUGCCUAAUACAUGCCAGUCGAGCGAACAGACGAGGAGCUUGCUCCUCUGACGUUAGCGGCGGACGGGUGAGUAACACGUGGAUAACCUACCUAUAAGACUGGGAUAACUUCGGGAAACCGGAGCUAAUACCGGAUAAUAUAUUGAACCGCAUGGUUCAAUAGUGAAAGACGGUUUUGCUGUCACUUAUAGAUGGAUCCGCGCCGCAUUAGCUAGUUGGUAAGGUAACGGCUUACCAAGGCAACGAUGCGUAGCCGACCUGAGAGGGGGAUCGGCCACACUGGAACUGAGACACGGUCCAGACUACUACGGGGCGCAGCAGUAGGGAAUCGUCCGCAAUGGGCGAAAGCCUGACGGAGCAACGCCGCGUGAGUGAUGAAGGUCUUCGGAUCGUAAAACUCUGUUAUUAGGGAAGAACAAAUGUGUAAGUAAAUAUGCACGUCUUGACGGUACCUAAUCAGAAAGCAACGGCUAACUACGUG
Molecule: ribosomal RNA, 497 nt
Filed under: uncultured bacterium
Lineage: Bacteria
Description: partial 16S ribosomal RNA
Rfam family: Bacterial small subunit ribosomal RNA
Source: RNAcentral